UAUUCUUAAUUUAUAUUACAAUUACUCUCAAUGAAGAAAAAUUGAAUUGAAUAUAUUCUGAUUUGUAUUCUUCUCAUUCUAGGGCUUGAUCAAUUUAUACAACAAUUGAGGGAUACAUGCACACAUAAAGUGAAGGCGAAUUCCGUGAAACAGGAAUAUGAAAAACAAGAUGAACUUAAGCGUUCUGCACUACGUGCAGUGUGGGCACUGUCCAAAAUACCAAAAGCAGAAAAAAACCAGCAACUAACUGAUUUUCUUAAAUCAAUCAACGAUUCCCCAGAACUCAGUAAAAUAUAUGAAUACGUUCAGAAGGACUCUCUUUCAAAUAAUUUGGAUUUUACGAUGGAUGAAAGCUAAAUUAAAGUUGUGUAUUACUUUUUUAGUAAUGUAAAGUUAUUUUUGGGUUUAAAUAAAUUAAUAAUUCAAAAUAAAUAAUUAACCCAUUUACUGUAUAAUAAUUUAAUAGAAAAGUUUAAUGAAUAUAAACAUAGCAGCCAGAGGAACCAGUACCCAUUUUAUGCGAAUAAUUCUAAUAAAACAUUUUUUAUUCACACAUUGUUUAAUUUUUUUAUUUUUCUUCUCGUUUGUAACACCUGUUCUCACCUCAAUAUGCAAGACGGAUUCUGGUAAACAAUUUAAUACGCUAACUGGAACCAAACAAGGGAGAACAAUUAAUAAGACUCUGAACGAAUAAAAUGAAAAAUAAUAUUUAAAUGUUUGUAAAACAUCAGCAGAACUUCUAUAUAGCCUGGGAAGGAAGCGAUCAAAUCAGCCACUAAGUCAACCAGCCAGCUAUUUGUGAAGUCUACCAAUCGAACUUCCAGCACAUGUAGUUACACAGCUAAACUAUAAUAUAUUUAGAGUAGUUGGCUUGAUCAAUUUAUACAACAAUUGAGGGAUACAUGCACACAUAAAGUGAAGGCGAAUUCCGUGAAACAGGAAUAUGAAAAACAAGAUGAACUUAAGCGUUCUGCACUACGUGCAGUGUGGGCACUGUCCAAAAUACCAAAAGCAGAAAAAAACCAGCAACUAACUGAUUUUCUUAAAUCAAUCAACGAUUCCCCAGAACUCAGUAAAAUAUAUGAAUACGUUCAGAAGGACUCUCUUUCAAAUAAUUUGGAUUUUACGAUGGAUGAAAGCUAAAUUAAAGUUGUGUAUUACUUUUUUAGUAAUGUAAAGUUAUUUUUGGGUUUAAAUAAAUUAAUAAUUCAAAAUAAAUAAUUAACCCAUUUACUGUAUAAUAAUUUAAUAGAAAAGUUUAAUGAAUAUAAACAUAACAGCCAGAGGAACCAGUACCCAUUUUAUGCGAAUAAUUCUAAUAAAACAUUUUUUUAUUCACACAUUGUUUAAUUUUUUUAUUUUUCUUCUCGUUUGUAACACCUGUUCUCACCUCAAUAUGCCUGACGGAUUCUGGUAAGCAAUUUAAUACGCUAACUGGCGCCAAACAAGGGAGAACAAUUAAUAAGACUCUGAAUGAAUAAAAUGAAAAAUAACAUUUAAAAUGUUUGUAAAACAUCAGCAGAACAUCUAUAUAGCCUGGGAAGGAAGCGAUCAAAUCAGCCACUAAGUCAACCAGCCAGCUAUUUGUGAAGUCUACCAAUCGAACUUCCAGCACAUGUAGUUACACAGCUAAACUAUAAUAUAUUUAGAGUAGUUUGGUCGUGAAAUUUUACAAUCUAAAUGUCAGAGGAAUAUGUAGAAUUGUCGAUGGGAGAGCAAAUAAGAACACUUGUAGAUUCGGCUAUCCAAGCAGCUUCAGCUGUCAAUCAAUUGAAACCAACCCUAUUGCCUUACAAGACAUUGAUGACUUAAGAAAAAACAGUGGCUUGAUCAAUUUAUACAACAAUUGAGGGAUACAUGCACACAUAAAGUGAAGGCGAAUUCCGUGAAACAGGAAUAUGAAAAACAAGAUGAACUUAAGCGUUCUGCACUACGUGCAGUGUGGGCACUGUCCAAAAUACCAAAAGCAGAAAAAAACCAGCAACUAACUGAUUUUCUUAAAUCAAUCAACGAUUCCCCAGAACUCAGUAAAAUAUAUGAAUACGUUCAGAAGGACUCUCUUUCAAAUAAUUUGGAUUUUACGAUGGAUGAAAGCUAAAUUAAAGUUGUGUAUUACUUUUUUAGUAAUGUAAAGUUAUUUUUGGGUUUAAAUAAAUUAAUAAUUCAAAAUAAAUAAUUAACCCAUUUACUGUAUAAUAAUUUAAUAGAAAAGUUUAAUGAAUAUAAACAUAGCAGCCAGAGGAACCAGUACCCAUUUUAUGCGAAUAAUUCUAAUAAAACAUUUUUUAUUCACACAUUGUUUAAUUUUUUUAUUUUUCUUCUCGUUUGUAACACCUGUUCUCACCUCAAUAUGCCUGAUGGAUUCUGGUAAGCAAUUUAAUACGCUAACUGGCGCCAAACAAGGGAGAACAAUUAAUAAGACGCUGAAUGAAUAAAAUGAAAAAUAACAUUUAAAAUGUUUGUAAAACAUCAGCAGAACAUCUAUAUAGCCUGGGAAGGAAGCGAUCAAAUCAGCCACUAAGUCAACCAGCCAGCUAUUUGUGAAGUCUACCAAUCGAACUUCCAGCACAUGUAGUUACACAGCUAAACUAUAAUAUAUUUAGAGUAGUUUGGUCGUGAAAUUUUACAAUCUAAAUGUCAGAGGAAUAUGUAGAAUUGUCGAUGGGAGAGCAAAUAAGAACACUUGUAGAUUCGGCUAUCCAAGCAGCUUCAGCUGUCAAUCAAUUGAAACCAACCCUAUUGCCUUACAAGACAUUGAUGACUUAAGAAAAAACAGUGGCUUGAUCAAUUUAUACAACAAUUGAGGGAUACAUGCACACAUAAAGUGAAGGCGAAUUCCGUGAAACAGGAAUAUGAAAAACAAGAUGAACUUAAGCGUUCUGCACUACGUGCAGUGUGGGCACUGUCUAAAAUACCAAAAGCAGAAAAAAACCAGCAACUAACUGAUUUUCUUAAAUCAAUCAACGAUUCCCCAGAACUCAGUAAAAUAUAUGAAUACGUUCAGAAGGACUCUCUUUCAAAUAAUUUGGAUUUUACGAUGGAUGAAAGCUAAAUUAAAGUUGUGUAUUACUUUUUUAGUAAUGUAAAGUUAUUUUUGGGUUUAAAUAAAUUAAUAAUUCAAAAUAAAUAAUUAACCCAUUUACUGUAUAAUAAUUUAAUAGAAAAGUUUAAUGAAUAUAAACAUAGCAGCUAGAGGAACCAGUACCCAUUUUAUGCGAAUAAUUCUAAUAAAACAUUUUUUAUUCACACAUUGUUUAAUUUUUUUAUUUUUCUUCUCGUUUGUAACACCUGUUCUCACCUCAAUAUGCCUGACGGAUUCUGGUAAGCAAUUUAAUACGCUAACUGGCGCCAAACAAGGGAGAACAAUUAAUAAGACUCUGAAUGAAUAAAAUGAAAAAUAACAUUUAAAAUGUUUGUAAAACAUCAGCAGAACAUCUAUAUAGCCUGGGAAGGAAGCGAUCAAAUCAGCCACUAAGUCAACCAGCCAGCUAUUUGUGAAGUCUACAAAUCGAACUUCCAGCACAUGUAGUUACACAGCUAAACUAUAAUAUAUUUAGAGUAGUUUGGUCGUGAAAUUUUACAAUCUAAAUGUCAGAGGAAUAUGUAGAAUUGUCGAUGGGAGAGCAAAUAAGAACACUUGUAGAUUCGGCUAUCCAAGCAGCUUCAGCUGUCAAUCAAUUGAAACCAACCCUAUUGCCUUACAAGACAUUGAUGACUUAAGAAAAAACAGUGGCUUGAUCAAUUUAUACAACAAUUGAGGGAUACAUGCACACAUAAAGUGAAGGCGAAUUCCGUGAAACAGGAAUAUGAAAAACAAGAUGAACUUAAGCGUUCUGCACUACGUGCAGUGUGGGCACUGUCUAAAAUACCAAAAGCAGAAAAAAACCAGCAACUAACUGAUUUUCUUAAAUCAAUCAACGAUUCCCCAGAACUCAGUAAAAUAUAUGAAUACGUUCAGAAGGACUCUCUUUCAAAUAAUUUGGAUUUUACGAUGGAUGAAAGCUAAAUUAAAGUUGUGUAUUACUUUUUUAGUAAUGUAAAGUUAUUUUUGGGUUUAAAUAAAUUAAUAAUUCAAAAUAAAUAAUUAACCCAUUUACUGUAUAAUAAUUUAAUAGAAAAGUUUAAUGAAUAUAAACAUAGCAGCUAGAGGAACCAGUACCCAUUUUAUGCGAAUAAUUCUAAUAAAACAUUUUUUAUUCACACAUUGUUUAAUUUUUUUAUUUUUCUUCUCGUUUGUAACACCUGUUCUCACCUCAAUAUGCCUGACGGAUUCUGGUAAGCAAUUUAAUACGCUAACUGGCGCCAAACAAGGGAGAACAAUUAAUAAGACUCUGAAUGAAUAAAAUGAAAAAUAACAUUUAAAAUGUUUGUAAAACAUCAGCAGAACAUCUAUAUAGCCUGGGAAGGAAGCGAUCAAAUCAGCCACUAAGUCAACCAGCCAGCUAUUUGUGAAGUCUACAAAUCGAACUUCCAGCACAUGUAGUUACACAGCUAAACUAUAAUAUAUUUAGAGUAGUUUGGUCGUGAAAUUUUACAAUCUAAAUGUCAGAGGAAUAUGUAGAAUUGUCGAUGGGAGAGCAAAUAAGAACACUUGUAGAUUCGGCUAUCCAAGCAGCUUCAGCUGUCAAUCAAUUGAAACCAACCCUAUUGCCUUACAAGACAUUGAUGACUUAAGAAAAAACAGUGGCUUGAUCAAUUUAUACAACAAUUGAGGGAUACAUGCACACAUAAAGUGAAGGCGAAUUCCGUGAAACAGGAAUAUGAAAAACAAGAUGAACUUAAGCGUUCUGCACUACGUGCAGUGUGGGCACUGUCCAAAAUACCAAAAGCAGAAAAAAACCAGCAACUAACUGAUUUUCUUAAAUCAAUCAACGAUUCCCCAGAACUCAGUAAAAUAUAUGAAUACGUUCAGAAGGACUCUCUUUCAAAUAAUUUGGAUUUUACGAUGGAUGAAAGCUAAAUUAAAGUUGUGUAUUACUUUUUUAGUAAUGUAAAGUUAUUUUUGGGUUUAAAUAAAUUAAUAAUUCAAAAUAAAUAAUUAACCCAUUUACUGUAUAAUAAUUUAAUAGAAAAGUUUAAUGAAUAUAAACAUAACAGCCAGAGGAACCAGUACCCAUUUUAUGCGAAUAAUUCUAAUAAAACAUUUUUUUAUUCACACAUUGUUUAAUUUUUUUAUUUUUCUUCUCGUUUGUAACACCUGUUCUCACCUCAAUAUGCCUGACGGAUUCUGGUAAGCAAUUUAAUACGCUAACUGGCGCCAAACAAGGGAGAACAAUUAAUAAGACUCUGAAUGAAUAAAAUGAAAAAUAACAUUUAAAAUGUUUGUAAAACAUCAGCAGAACAUCUAUAUAGCCUGGGAAGGAAGCGAUCAAAUCAGCCACUAAGUCAACCAGCCAGCUAUUUGUGAAGUCUACCAAUCGAACUUCCAGCACAUGUAGUUACACAGCUAAACUAUAAUAUAUUUAGAGUAGUUUGGUCGUGAAAUUUU
Molecule: long non-coding RNA, 5488 nt
Organism: Musca domestica (house fly)
Lineage: Eukaryota; Metazoa; Arthropoda; Insecta; Diptera; Muscidae
Exons: 17
Source: RefSeq, a predicted model, not a curated record